UGCGUAGGUGGUAGGGUAAGUCGGAUGUGAAAGCUCGGAGCUCAACUCCGAAAUGGCAUUGGAAACUACCCAACUAGAGGGUCGGAGGGGGGACGUGGAAUUCUUGGUGUAGCAGUGAAAUGCGUAGAUAUCAAGAGGAACACCAGUGGCGAAGGCGAGUCCCUGGACGACUCCUGACACUGAGGCACGAAAGCCAGGGGAGCAAACA
Molecule: ribosomal RNA, 208 nt
Filed under: uncultured bacterium
Lineage: Bacteria
Description: partial 16S ribosomal RNA
Rfam family: Bacterial small subunit ribosomal RNA
Source: RNAcentral